GACGAACGCUGGCGGCGUGCUUAACACAUGCAAGUCGAACGGAAAGGCCCUGCUUUUGUGGGGUGCUCGAGUGGCGAACGGGUGAGUAACACGUGAGUAACCUGCCCUUGACUUUGGGAUAACUUCAGGAAACUGGGGCUAAUACCGGAUAGGAGCUCCUGCUGCAUGGUGGGGGUUGGAAAGUUUCGGCGGUUGGGGAUGGACUCGCGGCUUAUGAGCUUGUUGGUGGGGUAGUGGCUUACCAAGGCUUUGAAGGGUAGCCGGCCUGAGAGGGUGACCGGCCACAUUGGGACUGAGAUACGGCCCAGACUCCUACGGGAGGCAGCAGUGGGGAAUAUUGCACAAUGGGCGGAAGCCUGAUGCAGCAACGCCGCGUGCGGGAUGACGGCCUUCGGGUUGUAAACCACUUUCGCCUGUGACGAAGCGUGAGUGACGGUAAUGGGUAAAGAAGCACCGGCUAACUACGUG
RNAcentral lists this ribosomal RNA (468 nucleotides) under uncultured bacterium. RNAcentral describes it as "partial 16S ribosomal RNA". It matches the Rfam family "Bacterial small subunit ribosomal RNA", at positions 28 to 507 of the family's 1533-position model. The record is from RNAcentral.